AUUUAAGGGCUGACUGCCCUUAAGGAAGGAUCAUUUUCCUGGAGAUCCCUUCUUGGUGGGAGCCUUUGCCUGUGAGCCUGAAAUCUUCUGAUCUAGUAGAGCUCUGCUCAUAUGGAUGAGUGGUGGAGGGGCUUUGGGGCUCCAGAAGAGGAAAUGAUCUCCCCAAGACCGGCUCCGACUGAAGGCAUCUUCUCACCCGGGGCGUGCCUGACUGAGCCAUAAAGUUCUACCUUUUUCCAGCCUGCUUCAAGCUGCAUCCCCCACCACGCAGAGCAGUUCCUCAAGCUGACUCGGAACAGAAGGGCUGCUGCUUUGGUGCCACUUCCCUGCUCUGUUGCUUGGGGAACUCUUCUUACCCUGUCUGGCCUGCUUCUCUUCUGCCUGCGUGGCUUGGCCACCAGAGUUUGCUGAUCGGACAUUCUUGUCCACGGAAAAGUGAAUGGGAAUGGUAGGUAACAGCAUAGUGGUUUUCAGUUAUUUGUUUCAGAUGUGGUUGUCAGAUAAAAAACUGAGAAGGCUGUUUUACAAACUACCCAUCCAGACAGGCUACUACAGGACUGAGAAGCCAGAAAAACCAUACUGUCCAUUACGGAGACCGUGCAAAUAAGCAUAAUUUUGUUACACUUGCAUGUUUUAGAGUAUGACAGUGUUUUUAAGCUUGAAGAACUUGGAGGUAAACACUUUAAUUAAUCAUUCUAACAGUUUUCAACUUUCAAAGUAAAUUAUUUGUUUUAAAGGUU
Numida meleagris (helmeted guineafowl) is the source of this 740-nucleotide long non-coding RNA. RefSeq lists it as uncharacterized. NCBI's taxonomy places the organism in Eukaryota, Metazoa, Chordata, Aves, Galliformes, Numididae. The record is from RefSeq and is a predicted model, not a curated record. The transcript is spliced from 3 exons.